RNAcentral lists this ribosomal RNA (292 nucleotides) under uncultured bacterium. RNAcentral describes it as "partial 16S ribosomal RNA". It matches the Rfam family "Bacterial small subunit ribosomal RNA", at positions 505 to 796 of the family's 1533-position model. The record is from RNAcentral.
GUGUCAGCCGCCGCGGUAAGACGAACCGUGCGAACGUUGUUCGGAUUCACUGGGCUUAAAGGGCGCGUAGGCGGGCUGCCAAGUCAGGGGUGAAAUCCUCCGGCUCAACCGGAGAACAGCCCCUGAUACUGGCGGCCUCGAGGGAGGUAGGGGCCGAUGGAACUUCCGGUGGAGCGGUGAAAUGCGUAGAUAUCGGAAGGAACGCCGGUGGCGAAAGCGAUCGGCUGGACCUCUUCUGACGCUGAGGCGCGAAAGCCAGGGGAGCAAACGGGAUUAGAAACCCCAGUAGUCC